GUAUAAUGUUGAAAUAUUAAGAGGCAGUUUUUUCAUCGAGAAAAGAAAACGCAACGAAAAAAAAUUAUGUCAAGUCAUCUAAAACUAAGCGUGAUACUUAAUACUGUAGAAACGAAGAGAACAGAACUCAACUAACUUAUCGAUUAAAUAUAUGGACUGGUAUACAAUAGUACUUGUUCUAAAAGUAAUUUAUAUCGAGGUAGACGUUGUAUUGGAACUAUCAUUAAAGAAUUCAGCGUAAGCUGUACUUCGGGGCGUGUUUCAGUCUGAACCAUGAAUUUACGAAAUUCUGUAUUUUUAUUUUCAAUUUCCUGAAGCAUAAGCAUUGCAUUUCGGAAACCAAAAGCGUAAACAGAAUAAACUUUUAAAAAUGGAGCCAUUUUAAUAAAAGCUUGAGCAACAUUAUCCUUAUUAUCAUCCAAUUCCCGCAGCAGUUCGCCAUUCAAAUUAUAAAUCAUUUCAAUUUGGCCAAAUAACAAAGAAUGACUGUGAACAUCAAGUAUUUUUUUUAAUUUUAUGGGAUUAACGAAGUAGUACAUAAGUAUUUCCAGCUGGCGAAGAAUCCUUUAAAAUUAUAAUACUUGAGCUUAAUACCACAUCAUUGAAUUCCUUACUUACUUCUAUUACACAUGUCCAUUCGAUUGCGCUCUUGUAGAACUUGUUGGAGUUCUCUGUUUAAGUUCAACAUGGUUUCUGUGUUUUGAAGUACCUCUUUUUUACUCUCAACAAAAUCUUUUCUAAUUUUUUUAGUACCCGAAAUCAUAUUUAUCAAGCGUUAAUUCAAAACAAAAUUAUUAAACUGUCAGCGUAACGAAUACUAUAUUUUUCCCUUUUCCACAUCUUAGACUUAUUUCCACAAACGGUAUAGAUGGCAUAGUGUUACGCUUAAUGUUAUACUCUGUGCAUAGUGCAACUACUAAGGAUUUGGAAAAUAUAUUUCAUGACAAGUAACUUUCAAAUCUGGUAGCUCAACGUUUCGAAACAUUUCAAAAAACUAGCAUAGGAGGGGUUGGAGUGCUGGUCGAGUAAGCAGUGGAGAACGCUUCUAUUUUCCAGAGGUAAAACUUUUACCAGGAGAAAAUGUGACAAAAAUAUAAAAACUCUUGAAUACAUGUGUAAAUCAGGGAUAUUUUGCAACUUAAUUAAUUUUUAAUUCUUGAAAUAAAAAUUUUAUAACGAUGAAAUCCACA
This is a long non-coding RNA of Zeugodacus cucurbitae (melon fly), 1190 nucleotides long. RefSeq lists it as uncharacterized. NCBI's taxonomy places the organism in Eukaryota, Metazoa, Arthropoda, Insecta, Diptera, Tephritidae. The record is from RefSeq and is a predicted model, not a curated record. The transcript is spliced from 3 exons.